Molecule: ribosomal RNA, 2900 nt
Filed under: Klebsiella pneumoniae
Lineage: Bacteria; Pseudomonadati; Pseudomonadota; Gammaproteobacteria; Enterobacterales; Enterobacteriaceae
Description: bacterial LSU rRNA
Rfam family: Bacterial large subunit ribosomal RNA
Source: RNAcentral
UUAAGCGACUAAGCGUACACGGUGGAUGCCCUGGCAGUCAGAGGCGAUGAAGGACGUGCUAAUCUGCGAAAAGCGUCGGUAAGGUGAUAUGAACCGUUAUAACCGGCGAUGUCCGAAUGGGGAAACCCAGUGCAAUUCGUUGCACUAUCGUUAACUGAAUACAUAGGUUAACGAGGCGAACCGGGGGAACUGAAACAUCUAAGUACCCCGAGGAAAAGAAAUCAACCGAGAUUCCCCCAGUAGCGGCGAGCGAACGGGGAGCAGCCCAGAGUCUGAAUCAGCUUGUGUGUUAGUGGAACGGUCUGGAAAGUCCGACGGUACAGGGUGAUAGUCCCGUACACCAAAAUGCACAGGCUGUGAACUCGAAGAGUAGGGCGGGACACGUGGUAUCCUGUCUGAAUAUGGGGGGACCAUCCUCCAAGGCUAAAUACUCCUGACUGACCGAUAGUGAACCAGUACCGUGAGGGAAAGGCGAAAAGAACCCCGGCGAGGGGAGUGAAAAAGAACCUGAAACCGUGUACGUACAAGCAGUGGGAGCACCUUCGGGUGUGACUGCGUACCUUUUGUAUAAUGGGUCAGCGACUUAUAUUCUGUAGCAAGGUUAACCGUAUAGGGGAGCCGCAGGGAAACCGAGUCUUAACUGGGCGUUAAGUUGCAGGGUAUAGACCCGAAACCCGGUGAUCUAGCCAUGGGCAGGUUGAAGGUUGGGUAACACUAACUGGAGGACCGAACCGACUAAUGUUGAAAAAUUAGCGGAUGACUUGUGGCUGGGGGUGAAAGGCCAAUCAAACCGGGAGAUAGCUGGUUCUCCCCGAAAGCUAUUUAGGUAGCGCCUCGUGAACUCAUCUUCGGGGGUAGAGCACUGUUUCGGCUAGGGGGUCAUCCCGACUUACCAACCCGAUGCAAACUACGAAUACCGAAGAAUGUUAUCACGGGAGACACACGGCGGGUGCUAACGUCCGUCGUGAAGAGGGAAACAACCCAGACCGCCAGCUAAGGUCCCAAAGUCAUGGUUAAGUGGGAAACGAUGUGGGAAGGCACAGACAGCCAGGAUGUUGGCUUAGAAGCAGCCAUCAUUUAAAGAAAGCGUAAUAGCUCACUGGUCGAGUCGGCCUGCGCGGAAGAUGUAACGGGGCUAAACCAUGCACCGAAGCUGCGGCAGCGACACUAUGUGUUGUUGGGUAGGGGAGCGUUCUGUAAGCCUGCGAAGGUGUGCUGUGAGGCAUGCUGGAGGUAUCAGAAGUGCGAAUGCUGACAUAAGUAACGAUAAAGCGGGUGAAAAGCCCGCUCGCCGGAAGACCAAGGGUUCCUGUCCAACGUUAAUCGGGGCAGGGUGAGUCGACCCCUAAGGCGAGGCCGAAAGGCGUAGUCGAUGGGAAACAGGUUAAUAUUCCUGUACUUGGUGUUACUGCGAAGGGGGGACGGAGAAGGCUAUGUUAGCCGGGCGACGGUUGUCCCGGUUUAAGCAUGUAGGCUGAUUGUCCAGGCAAAUCCGGAUAAUCAAGGCUGAGGUGUGAUGACGAGGCACUACGGUGCUGAAGUAACAAAUGCCCUGCUUCCAGGAAAAGCCUCUAAGCAUCAGGUAACAUCAAAUCGUACCCCAAACCGACACAGGUGGUCAGGUAGAGAAUACCAAGGCGCUUGAGAGAACUCGGGUGAAGGAACUAGGCAAAAUGGUGCCGUAACUUCGGGAGAAGGCACGCUGGUGUGUAGGUGAAGCCCCUGCGGGUGGAGCUGAGACCAGUCGAAGAUACCAGCUGGCUGCAACUGUUUAUUAAAAACACAGCACUGUGCAAACACGAAAGUGGACGUAUACGGUGUGACGCCUGCCCGGUGCCGGAAGGUUAAUUGAUGGGGUUAUCCGUAAGGAGAAGCUCUUGAUCGAAGCCCCGGUAAACGGCGGCCGUAACUAUAACGGUCCUAAGGUAGCGAAAUUCCUUGUCGGGUAAGUUCCGACCUGCACGAAUGGCGUAAUGAUGGCCAGGCUGUCUCCACCCGAGACUCAGUGAAAUUGAACUCGCUGUGAAGAUGCAGUGUACCCGCGGCAAGACGGAAAGACCCCGUGAACCUUUACUAUAGCUUGACACUGAACAUUGAGCCUUGAUGUGUAGGAUAGGUGGGAGGCUUUGAAGCGUGGACGCCAGUCUGCGUGGAGCCAACCUUGAAAUACCACCCUUUAAUGUUUGAUGUUCUAACGUUGGCCCCUGACCGGGGUUGCGGACAGUGUCUGGUGGGUAGUUUGACUGGGGCGGUCUCCUCCCAAAGCGUAACGGAGGAGCACGAAGGUUAGCUAAUCCUGGUCGGACAUCAGGAGGUUAGUGCAAUGGCAUAAGCUAGCUUGACUGCGAGCGUGACGGCGCGAGCAGGUGCGAAAGCAGGUCAUAGUGAUCCGGUGGUUCUGAAUGGAAGGGCCAUCGCUCAACGGAUAAAAGGUACUCCGGGGAUAACAGGCUGAUACCGCCCAAGAGUUCAUAUCGACGGCGGUGUUUGGCACCUCGAUGUCGGCUCAUCACAUCCUGGGGCUGAAGUAGGUCCCAAGGGUAUGGCUGUUCGCCAUUUAAAGUGGUACGCGAGCUGGGUUUAGAACGUCGUGAGACAGUUCGGUCCCUAUCUGCCGUGGGCGCUGGAGAAUUGAGGGGGGCUGCUCCUAGUACGAGAGGACCGGAGUGGACGCAUCACUGGUGUUCGGGUUGUCAUGCCAAUGGCACUGCCCGGUAGCUAAAUGCGGAAGAGAUAAGUGCUGAAAGCAUCUAAGCACGAAACUUGCCCCGAGAUGAGUUCUCCCUGAGACUAUAAGUCUCCUGAAGGAACGUUAAAGACGAUGACGUUGAUAGGCCGGGUGUGUAAGCGCAGCGAUGCGUUGAGCUAACCGGUACUAAUGAACCGUGAGGCUUAACCUU